UACGUAGGGGGCUAGCGUUGUCCGGAAUCAUUGGGCGUAAAGAGCGUGUAGGCGGCCCGGUAAGUCCGCUGUGAAAGUCCAGGGCUCAACCCUGGGAUGCCGGUGGAUACUGUCGGGCUCGAGUCCGGAAGAGGCGAGUGGAAUUCCUGGUGUAGCGGUGGAAUGCGCAGAUAUCAGGAGGAACACCAAUGGCGAAGGCAGCUCGCUGGGACGGUACUGACGCUGAGGCGCGAAAGCGUGGGGAGCAAACAGG
Molecule: ribosomal RNA, 253 nt
Filed under: uncultured bacterium
Lineage: Bacteria
Description: partial 16S ribosomal RNA
Rfam family: Bacterial small subunit ribosomal RNA
Source: RNAcentral